Molecule: long non-coding RNA, 413 nt
Organism: Oncorhynchus tshawytscha (Chinook salmon)
Lineage: Eukaryota; Metazoa; Chordata; Actinopteri; Salmoniformes; Salmonidae
Source: Ensembl
AGUAACUAAAGGCUGGGGGCAUAUUAACUAAAGGCUGCCUCUCCAUGCCUCUUGGUCCCCGUCAGGUUCUCUGGUAGGCUGUUCCAGAGGCUGGGGGCAUAGUAACUAAAGGCUGGGGGCAUAUUAACUAAAGGCUGCCUCUCCAUGCCUCUUGGUCCCCCUCAGGUUCUCUGGUAGGCUGUUCCAGAGGCUGGGGGCAUAGUAACUAAAGGCUGGGGGCAUAUAACUAAAGGCUGCCUCUCCAUGCCUCUUGGUCCCCCUCAGGUUCUCUGGUAGGCUGUUCCAGAGGCUGGGGGCAUAGUAACUAAAGGCUGGGGGCAUAUUACUAAAGGCUGCCUCUCCAUGCCUCUUGGUCCCCGUCAGGUUCUCUGGCAGGCUGUUCCAGAGGCUGGGGGCAUAAUAACUAAAGGCUG